UUGCUUGUUUUCCCGCUAAUUCAAGGAAGAACAACAUUUCUAGGUACAGGUACGUACUCCUCCCUCUUUUGUCCCGUAUCUAUGUCUUUUUGGGUUGUUUUAUUUGUCCCAAAUUAUUUAUCAUUUUAGAGUUCCAAUAAAAUAUUAAUUGCAUUUUUAUCAAUAUUGCUCUUAACACUCUUAAUUGGUUAAUUUAAAAAAUAAAAUAAUGACAAGGAUAUUUUAGUAUUUACUAUGUUAUUUUUAGUAUAAUCUAUCCAUAUUUACUGAGUACCUUAAUAUACGCACAACCAUCCAAAACGACAUAUAAUAUGGGACGAAGGGAGUAUAUAUAUUAGAUUAUAAGUAUAUAGUCUAGAAAUAAAUCUGCAUAUAGUACUUUCACGGUUUAUUAUAUCCCACAUUCCGUGAUUUUCAUUAGAUGAUACCCGGUUGUGCUCUUGUAUCUAUUCGAUGCACGUUUUACAUACGUCCACAUGGUUAUGUGUAAAUGUUUAGAGAUAUAUGAUAUGGUAAAAUUUUUGAAGUUUAAAAUCUACAAGAAUGGGCUUUCAUAAAUGAAUAUUUGUGUGUGAGUGUGAUUAUUUUGUUAAUAUUUAUAUAUGUAUAUGACAUGUAGUGUUCUAAAAAAGGGUCAAGGAGGCCGAUUAAUCCAUAGAGGCUGAUGUGAACCUUAGCCUUUACUAUUUUGAUGUAAAUGUUUAAAAAAUGAUUUUCGGCCUUCUAAUGAGCUUUCAGGCACUCCGAGGUGGUAAAUCCUGGAGGUGAAAAUCGGUUUUUCCAAUCAAAAGCUGUUUUGUUUCCUUUCAUAAAUAAAUUAAAAAAAAAAUUGGGCUUUUAGUUCAAACUUGUUCUAUUCCUCCCUCUCUCUCGACUUUGUUGUUCCUCUAAGAAAGAAAGCAACUGUGCACUCACCCAUAAUAGGCCGCUGUCGUGCGCUACGAAUUGACGACGGACGAGGCGGCAACGCCCUUCGACGACGGCACUGAACAUAGCCUACAGCUGCCAGUUGGUUCUUCAUUUUGGGAUGCGUUAUUUUUAUUCUUCAAUUCUUCAUAAGAGGCGACUAUUUCAAAUACACUUCUUUCCCAGUUUAAUACCACCUAAAUAAAAAAAUAGAUAGUAAAUAGGUAAUAAAUUUAUAAUAACAUAAAUACCAAUAUAACAUUAAUGAAAAACAAUAUCACACAAAUAUAAAAAAUCUCAUUUUUUUUAAUACCAUAAACAACUCUCACACCCCUCUCCGUCUUCUUCCCAAACCCCCUCCUACUCCUUCUUCACAAAACCCCCAAAAAACCUCCAAAUUCAAAGAAUCAAAACCUCAAAAAUCAUGCCAAAUGAAGUCACAAGACAAUAAAAUGGUAGUUUACACGGACAGAGAACCGAUAUAGUUAUGUAUCCAUGUCAUUUUCAAGCUUGGAAGUCGAUUUUCAAGGUUUUUUUUUUUGUUUUUGAAAUCGGUCUCCAUUUCUCGACAUAUACAGGUCGAUUUUUUUGUGAUUUUCUCUUUUUUAGAGGACUAAUGCCAUUUUUUUUCUUGUAGUGCAUAUAAACUUUGUACAUUUUAAUAUAUCCAAAAACUUCAAACAUGCUGGUGUAGAUAUAUCGAUAUUGUUUAAUCCAUCACGGGCUUGUUGACUCUUUCUUUUUAUUAUUUCAGAGUAUGGUUCCAAAAAAAAUUAUCAAAUACAGGCUCCACGAAGACUGGCAAGUCCACCUCCGCCGCCGCCACGGCCACCAAUCGGGCCUCACCCGUGAAUAAGUGAAAGACACAAAACCUCAAAUAGUAGAAAAACUUCGGAUAUGUCGAUUUGGACAUAUUUUGAGGAUCAUUUUCAUUUUACUUUCCGG
Molecule: long non-coding RNA, 1851 nt
Filed under: Erythranthe guttata (spotted monkey flower)
Lineage: Eukaryota; Viridiplantae; Streptophyta; Magnoliopsida; Lamiales; Phrymaceae
Description: long non-coding RNA (EGUT_LNC000471)
Source: RNAcentral